CACGUAGGGGGCAAGCGUUGUCCGGAUUUAUUGGGCGUAAAGAGCUCGUAGGUGGUUCGGUAAGUCAGGUGUGAAACCUCCAGGCUCAACCUGGAGACGCCACUUGAUACUGCUGUGACUGGAGUCCGGUAGGGGAGCGUGGAAUUCCUGGUGUAGCGGUGAAAUGCGCAGAUAUCAGGAGGAACACCGGUGGCGAAGGCGGCUUGCUGGGCCAGUUCUGACGCUGAGGAGCGAAAGCGUGGGGAGCGAACAGG
This 254-nucleotide ribosomal RNA is filed under the name uncultured bacterium. RNAcentral's name for it is "partial 16S ribosomal RNA". It matches the Rfam family "Bacterial small subunit ribosomal RNA", at positions 524 to 776 of the family's 1533-position model. The record is from RNAcentral.